This 549-nucleotide ribosomal RNA is filed under the name Bacillus siamensis. RNAcentral describes it as "bacterial SSU rRNA". It matches the Rfam family "Bacterial small subunit ribosomal RNA", at positions 77 to 610 of the family's 1533-position model. The record is from RNAcentral. Lineage: Bacteria; Bacillati; Bacillota; Bacilli; Caryophanales; Bacillaceae.
AACUUGCUCCCUGAUGUUAGCGGCGGACGGGUGAGUAACACGUGGGUAACCUGCCUGUAAGACUGGGAUAACUCCGGGAAACCGGGGCUAAUACCGGAUGGUUGUUUGAACCGCAUGGUUCAGACAUAAAAGGUGGCUUCGGCUACCACUUACAGAUGGACCCGCGGCGCAUUAGCUAGUUGGUGAGGUAACGGCUCACCAAGGCGACGAUGCGUAGCCGACCUGAGAGGGUGAUCGGCCACACUGGGACUGAGACACGGCCCAGACUCCUACGGGAGGCAGCAGUAGGGAAUCUUCCGCAAUGGACGAAAGUCUGACGGAGCAACGCCGCGUGAGUGAUGAAGGUUUUCGGAUCGUAAAGCUCUGUUGUUAGGGAAGAACAAGUGCCGUUCAAAUAGGGCGGCACCUUGACGGUACCUAACCAGAAAGCCACGGCUAACUACGUGCCAGCAGCCGCGGUAAUACGUAGGUGGCAAGCGUUGUCCGGAAUUAUUGGGCGUAAAGGGCUCGCAGGCGGUUUCUUAAGUCUGAUGUGAAAGCCUCCGGCUC